GGCUUAGAGUUUGAUCAUGGCUCAGGAUGAACGCUAGCUACAGGCUUAACACAUGCAAGUCGAGGGGCAGCAUUUUAGUUUGCUUGCAAACUGAAGAUGGCGACCGGCGCACGGGUGAGUAACACGUAUCCAACCUGCCGAUAACUCCGGAAUAGCCUUUCGAAAGAAAGAUUAAUACCCGAUGGCAUAGUUCUUCCGCAUGGUGGAACUAUUAAAGAAUUUCGGUCAUCGAUGGGGAUGCGUUCCAUUAGGUUGUUGGCGGGGUAACGGCCCACCAAGCCUUCGACGGAUAGGGGUUCUGAGAGGAAGGUCCCCCACAUUGGAACUGAGACACGGUCCAAACUCCUACGGGAGGCAGCAGUGAGGAAUAUUGGUCAAUGGACGAGAGUCUGAACCAGCCAAGUAGCGUGAAGGAUGACUGCCCUAUGGGUUGUAAACUUCUUUUAUACGGGAAUAAAGUGAGGCACGUGUGCCUUUUUGUAUGUACCGUAUGAAUAAGGAUCGGCUAACUCCGUGCCAGCAGCCGCGGUAAUACGGAGGACNCGAGCGUUAUCCGGAUUUAUUGGGUUUAAAGGGAGCGUAGGUGGACUGGUAAGUCAGUUGUGAAAGUUUGCGGCUCAACCGUAAAAUUGCAGUUGAUACUGUCAGUCUUGAGUACAGUAGAGGUGGGCGGAAUUCGUGGUGUAGCGGUGAGAUGCUUAGAUAUCACGAAGAACUCCGAUUGCGAAGCAGCUCACUGGACUGCAACUGACACUGAUGCUCGAAAGUGUGGGUAUCAAACAGGAUUAGAUACCCUGGUAGUCCACACAGUAAACGAUGAAUACUCGCUGUUUGCGAUAUACAGUAAGCGGCCAAGCGAAAGCAUUAAGUAUUC
This 874-nucleotide ribosomal RNA is filed under the name uncultured organism. Its description in RNAcentral is "bacterial SSU rRNA". It matches the Rfam family "Bacterial small subunit ribosomal RNA", at positions 1 to 869 of the family's 1533-position model. The record is from RNAcentral.